This 442-nucleotide ribosomal RNA is filed under the name uncultured bacterium. RNAcentral's name for it is "partial 16S ribosomal RNA". It matches the Rfam family "Bacterial small subunit ribosomal RNA", at positions 338 to 795 of the family's 1533-position model. The record is from RNAcentral.
CCUACGGGAGGCAGCAGUGGGGAAUAUCGGGCAAUGGGCGCAAGCCUGACCCAGCAACGCCGCGUGAAGGAAGAAGGCUUUCGGGUUGUAAACUUCUUUUAAGAGGGAAGAGCAGAAGACGGUACCUCUUGAAUAAGCCACGGCUAACUACGUGCCAGCAGCCGCGGUCAUACGUAGGUGGCAAGCGUUGUCCGGCUUUACUGGGUGUAAAGGGCGUGCAGCCGGGAAGACAAGUCAGAUGUGAAAUCCCGCGGCUCAACCGCGGAACUGCAUUUGAAACUGUUUUUCUUGAGUACCGGAGAGGUCAUCGGAAUUCCUGGUGUAGCGGUGAAAUGCGUAGAUAUAAGGAAGAACACCAGUGGCGAAGGCGGAUGACUGGACGGCAACUGACGGUGAGGCGCGAAAGCGUGGGGAGCAAACAGGAUUAGAUACCCCUGUAGUC